GUCNUCACNGACUCAGUAAACGAAGGUAACCGCGNGAAGUUGACCCGCCUGGGGAGUANCGGCCGACAAGGUUGANNACUCAAAGGAAUNGACGGGGACCGGCACAAGCGGUGGAUGAUGUGGUUUAAUUCGAUGCAACGCGAAAAACCUUACCCACCUUUGACAUGUACGGAAUUCGCCCAGAGAUGGCUUAGUGCUCGAAAGAGAACCGUAGCACAGGUGCUGCAUGGCUGUCGUCAGACUCGUGUCGUGAGAUGUUGGGUUAAGUCCCGCAACGAGCGCAACCCUUGUCAUUAGUUGGUACAUUUAGUUGGGCACUCUAAUGAGACUGCCGGUGACAAACCGGAGGAAGGUGGGGAUGACGUCAAGUCCUCAUGGCCCUUAUAGGUGGGGCUACACACGUCAUACAAUGGCUGGUACAAAGGGUUGCCAACCCGCGAGGGGGAGCUAAUCCCAUAAAGCCAGUCGUAGUCCGGAUCGCAGUCUGCAACUCGACUGCGUGAAGUCGGAAUCGCUAGUAAUCGUGGAUCAGAAUGUCACGGUGAAUACGUUCCCGGGUCUUGUACACACCGCCCGUCACACCAUGGGAGCGGGUUCUGCCAGAAGUAGUUAGCCUAACCGCAAGGAGGGCGAUUACCACGGCCAGGGUUCGUGACUGGGGUGAAGUCGUAANCAAGGUACC
Molecule: ribosomal RNA, 682 nt
Filed under: uncultured bacterium
Lineage: Bacteria
Description: bacterial SSU rRNA
Rfam family: Bacterial small subunit ribosomal RNA
Source: RNAcentral